Molecule: transfer RNA, 69 nt
Filed under: Marmota marmota marmota (Alpine marmot)
Lineage: Eukaryota; Metazoa; Chordata; Mammalia; Rodentia; Sciuridae
Also listed under: 2 other names
Rfam family: tRNA
About the family: Transfer RNA (tRNA) molecules are approximately 80 nucleotides in length.
Source: Rfam by way of RNAcentral
GGGGUUGUGGCUCAGUGGUAAAGCAUUUGCCUAGCAUGCAUGAGGCACUGGGUUCGAUUCUCAGCACCA